CCUUUCAAUGCAGCAGAAUUGGGAUGGUUGAGUAUCUUGCCUCUCCGUUCUGCCUGUAUUCUACCCUUGUUUGUCAUAUACUAUUAUUUCCUCGGCAGGCUUGCCUGCCGAGUGAAACCAUUUAUAACCUUUUUAAUUUUCAAUCAGCGUCUGAAAAAAAUUAAUAAUUA
RNAcentral lists this unclassified non-coding RNA (170 nucleotides) under soil metagenome. RNAcentral's name for it is "partial internal transcribed spacer 1". The record is from RNAcentral.